CCUACGGGGGGCAGCAGUGGGGAAUAUUGGGCAAUGGGCGCAAGCCUGACCCAGCAACGCAGCGUGAAGGAAGAAGGCUUUCGGGUUGUAAACUUCUUUUAAGGGGGAAGAGCAGAAGACGGUACCCCUUGAAUAAGCCACGGCUAACUACGUGCCAGCAGCCGCGGUAAUACGUAGGUGGCAAGCGUUGUCCGGAUUUACUGGGUGUAAAGGGCGUGCAGCCGGAGAGACAAGUCAGAUGUGAAAUCCACGGGCUCAACCCGUGAACUGCAUUUGAAACUGUUUCCCUUGAGUGUCGGAGAGGUAAUCGGAAUUCCUUGUGUAGCGGUGAAAUGCGUAGAUAUAAGGAAGAACACCAGUGGCGAAGGCAGCUUACUGGACUGUAACUGACGUUGAGGCUCGAAAGCGUGGGGAGCAAACGGGAUUAGAUACCCUUGUAGUC
Molecule: ribosomal RNA, 442 nt
Filed under: uncultured bacterium
Lineage: Bacteria
Description: partial 16S ribosomal RNA
Rfam family: Bacterial small subunit ribosomal RNA
Source: RNAcentral